UUCUGUUGAUAAUUUCUUGGGUUUCUCUGAGGAUGUCCUUUGCCUGCAUACAGAGCAACUGGAUCCAGUGUUUCUUUUCCUGUAUGAGUCCUUGUUGUUGUCCGCUGGCUUUCAUCUGCCAUUAUCAUGGCAUAAGCUUUGCUCACACUAGGCAAGGGAUUCAUCAUCAGGAUUUGACUCCUGGCUUGGCUAUAUACCUCGUUUAGUCUCAUCAGAAAAGCAAACAAUCUCAAAUAGGCUAUGUGAUCCACAUAUGUUCUCGACUUCUCACAACUACAUGAUGGUGGUGGAACGAAAGCAUCGAAUUCAUCCCAUAACAAUCGCAAUCUCGUAAAGUAACUAGAUAUAGUCAAAUUACCUUGAUAUAUUGUGCAAAUUUCUCUAUGAAGCUGAUAGAUCCUUGAUCCAUCGAUCUUAUCAAAUCUAUCCUUAAGAUCUUUCCAUACUGUGGCUGCAUCAUCUGCAUACACUAUACCACUAAGUAACUUCUUGGAUACCGUGUUCAUGAUCCAAGCAAGCACAGAACAAUUGCAUUUUUCCCACUGUUCUUCUAGAUCCAACUUGUAAUCACUCAUCUUGCAUGUUCCAAGCACGAAUCCCAGCUUACUCUUCGCACGUAGGUCAAUCAAUAUGGAUCUGCUCUAUAAUGAAUAGUUCUCCGUCCCUGUAAGCUGUACCGUAGUGAGCACACAUCCUGGAGUAUCAGAUGGAUGAAGGUAUAGUGGAUGAUUUCGCUUCUUCUCGAUUUCAUCUAAUGUCUUUGCCCUAAUUACAGUAAUGGUGAAUAGUGAAGAAUCAGGGGAAACUGUAAUUAGGGCAGAGACAUUAGAUGAAAUCGAGAAGAAGCGAAAUCAUCCACUAUACCUUCAUCCAUCUGAUACUCCAGGAUGUGUGCUCACUACGGUACAACUUACUCUUCGCACGAAGGUUAAUCAAUAUGGAUCUGCUCCAUAAUGAAUAGUUCUCCGUCCCUGUAAGUUGUACCGUAGUGAGCACACAUCCUCCUGGAGUAUCAAAUGGAUGAAGGUAUAGUGGAUGAUUUCGCUUCUUCUCGAUCUCAUCUAAUGUCUCUGCCCUAAUUACAGUUUCCCCUGAUUCUUCACUAUUCACCAUUUCAGUUGCUUCUAGAGAACUUCUUCAAUGGCUGAAUAAUAGGAUCAAUCUUCACGCAGUUGAAUCGAACUCGAUUCUCAGCUUUGAUACCAUGAUGAAAAUACAAUUCAAUGAUAUGAACGAUAGAUCAGUUUGAGAGAAGAAGAGAAAAAUGGAAAAUAUUAU
RNAcentral lists this long non-coding RNA (1278 nucleotides) under Solanum tuberosum (potato). RNAcentral's name for it is "long non-coding RNA (STUB_LNC007596)". The record is from RNAcentral. Lineage: Eukaryota; Viridiplantae; Streptophyta; Magnoliopsida; Solanales; Solanaceae.